GUUAUGAUGCAGCAAGAAGGCCCUUGCCAGAUGUGGCUCCUGGAUUGUGGACUUUUCAGCCCCCAGAACUGUGAGCCAAACAAACUUCUUUUGUUCAUAACUUCCCCAGUCUGUGAUAUCCUGUUACAGCAGCAGAAAAUGGACUAAGACACCCAGGGAUGUACCUGGAACCUGGAAAAAGGGGCAGAUCUGCAUCACGGGCUUGCAUGUCCAAUUUCACCUUGGCACUUGCUUCUCCGAGGGUCUGGACAUGGGGCUUCGUUUGAGUCUGGAAGCAGUGGAGAGGGGCCAGAAGCUCCAGGCCUUGGCUUGGAGAUCUCUACAGGUGUGCAUGGAGAUGUUUGAAGUGCUAAUGGCUGAGACAGAGCAAGUGGCAGAGGCCUAGGAGACGGAGGCUGAAAGAGUCUGAGGAGGAAAGGAGGCACUGAGGGACUCACAUGAAGCUACUCUGUCAGCAUUCUAAAACUUCUGACAUUCUUUUCUAUGAAGAUAAUUGAAUCACCAAAUUUGAUGAAAUGUUCCCCAAAUAUCAGGUGAAAAAAACUCAUCUAAACCUUUGGACUUGGAAUUGCCCACAUAGACCACAUCAGCAAUGGAAGACAGAGCAAAUAACAUGUCGGUUCAAUGUAUGAAGGAGCUUUUCUUUCCCCUGCCCCAACCCUCAGACAGGCAUCUAUGCAUACGGAGCAAAAAAUGAUGUAUAUAAUAAUAAGUUUGAGGCACUGAAAGAUCUUGAAUGAGCUUCUGAAUCAUCAGUUACUGUAUCUUUGGGGGUGAGUGAAUUUUAUUACAAAGAAACUUUUUUUUUUUUUUAAAUUUGGUAAUCCUUAAGUAACAAUGUGCAAAUUUCUUUCAAGAAGUGCUGUUGAAUGCUAGGGAUGAGUAGUGUGAUGACUACUCCAAAUUAAGACAAUAAGGCCAGUUUGACAAUCAGCAAUGUGCUAUGCAGCUGAACUGGAGGCACAGUGGUGCUGGUGAAUUGGGCCAGCUCUGGAGAAUUUGAACAUAUAGACAGAGGGCAUGAUGUCUGACUUCUCCAGGCACUAUUGCAUCCCAGUCCGACUUUCCUAGGAUCACUUCAAGUUUGAUCAUAACCCCAAAUCCCUCAGCACCUUCAUUAUCACUCAUAAGCCACAGGGCGCUUGCUGGCAGCCCUUGUUUCUGAUCUGUUUCUCCACCACUGUUACUUGUAUUAUGGCACAUGACUCUGUUCCCAACACCCUCAGGCCUUGGGAAGGGGAUAGGCUGAAAUAAGUAGAUAUUGCUGUUGAAAGAAACAAUUUCAAUGAGGUCUCCCCCCACGCAUCCUUGCUGAGGUCGUGGCGAGACAUAGAUGGAGGGUAGGCAAAAGCAGGAAGAUGACAGCAGAGCAGUAAGGGCUCAGCAAACGAGAGACUAGGGCAGGUGUGUGAAGAAGGGAGAAUGGAAGAGGAAUUGGAUGCAUGAAGGCAGAGAAAGUAGGUGGUGGGCAGAAAUAAUGGGAAAAUGUGAAUCUUCAGAAGUCAAAAUUUAAUGAUGUUUGCUUAACAUUUGCAUAUAUGAUACUACUCCCCAAGUAUGUGAACUAGACAGUUUACAUAUAAGGCAGGAAAAUAGGGUCUGGAGGCAGGGAACAUAAGGCCAAUUCACACUUCAGCUAUGACAGAAAAUAUCUUCUCCAUAGGGCAUAGUUGCUAGGGCCACUCAGAGAGAGAGAAUCCUGAAACCUAGCAUACCAGCUAAAGGGUAAGAAUUUCUUACUAGCCAGUCUCUGGCCUCUUUCUCUCUGUGCAAACUGGCUAAUCUCCAUUGUAAAGUUUUAAAUUAAUUGGUUUAAUAAUAAUAAGAGCUUAAAUCAAAUAUUUCAUCAGGAAAGUAGAAAGCGUAAUGCCUUUUAGUUCACGUGACUUUAGCAAUUUUUGGGAAAUAAAGAGGGUUUUAAAGAUUAUUGGUAAAAUACAAUGUCUUUAAAAUGGAAACAUGUGGUCUAAAUUAUGUUCCAAUAUUAGGUUUGCUGAAUGCUUUAAGGUCAUAAACUGCUUAUUUGGCUUUUGAAAAUUGUUUAACUUGCCUGCUUUCCAGCUAGGUAAGGCCUGGGAACAUGUGGAGUUGGCCAUGCCCCUAGCUAUGCUGCAAACAGUCAAACCUUUUCAGAACAUAACUUACCAGGUUUUACAUUAAAGUUAAAAUUGCUAAGAGUCACCAUUGUAACAUGCAAUUAAGACUACUAGAAACGGUUUUACAUGCACGGUGUGUAAGAAUAGUAGAAUGUAUGUCUCUGUGUGUGUUUUGUAAAAGGUUUUUACUUCUUUAAAAUUUCUGAGUCAUUAUUUUGGCAAAAUAAAUAAUCUGGAAUUCCAAAAUCAAACUUCAGUUUCAAAAUUGUCUUUCCUAAUGCCUGGCUUUCUGGAUGGAUCAGAGGGCCCCUGAAAACAUCCAGAAAGGAGGUAAACAGGAUUAUUUGAUGUGUUUAGGUACAUGGGAUUGCCAAAAUGAUGUUCCGUGUUCUUUAAGUUUUUUUUGUGAAUAAUACUAAUAUAUGUUCCAAAAUUGUAUGGGAUUCCUAAAAUAGUACAUGCUAUCAAUUAUAAUUAUGGGUAUUAUGUUAAGUUAUUGUAAACCACACAAAUAACCAAAUUUCCUUGUAUAAAGCUACUAACCCAAGUAGAACAAAAAUUAAUUAAAUACCAAUAAAAUACUUUGUCAGACUUUCAUGUUAAACCAGCUGAUACUGAAAUUUUUAAGAUAGUUUAUAACCAAUGCUUGGUCCCAUAUUCCUGGGAAGACAAUUAAAGCUUCAUGUACAUUUGGUCACCUUGUGGGCCAUUUAAACAUUUUAUAAAGGGAUUUCAUUCAAUUGUUAUUUCCAAUGCAUGCUUUCUGGUUGUAUAAAAGCUUUCCCACGUGAGAGGGCUGAUGUUAUCACAGUAGAUUAUUAUGCUACAGUGUAUUUGCACCAGGUAAAAAAGCUUUUUAUGGUUUGAAUCUUCUGAGAACACCAGAGAAAGACUCUCCUUACCAUCCUCACUGCAACUAAACUUCGGGACCCUGGGCUUUGGGUUCAUGGUCUCGCCACUGAAAAGGUUCCCUCCACACUUUUGGAAUUGUGCACCCAUUGGAACCCUUGAGGUAAAGCUAACCAGAGAAAUUUCUCCCAAGAAGAAGAAGAUGGCAUCCUUGAAGUGAACAGCUUUUCCCAAGUUCACAGAGUAAGACUUCUACUAUCAUGAAACUCUUAUCUUUGAAUAUUUUUUCUUGCUUAUAUCUCUACUAACAAUAGAAGUGGAAAAAGGGUCUGUUAUGUGCACUUAUGGGGUAUACUUUUAUUUGUGAAGAAGUUUGCAGCCAGCCUUAUACAUGGAUAACCUUCUACUUUGAUAGAGAUGAAGGCCCAAUGCAGGUAAGAAACUUUAGUGGUACAUAUGUUGCCCCAUAAUCACUCAAAAACAAAAUAUUGGUUCAUCCCUCUUAACCCACAUCAUGGGUUAAAGAGAACAUUGCCAGGGGGUCUUCACUCUCCUAGAAGGGCAUCAUUUGUUAAGUCCUUUUUCCAUGGCUUAAAGUAAAGGAAGCAAUGAUUAGAAAUGUAUCCCUCAUGAUAGGCUCUAUAGCAAAUCUACUUUAAAGGCUAUCGUUACACAACAGAUUUUAAAUUCUCUUUGAAAGUUAUGCUAAAUAGAAUUGGCUAAACAAAGAAGUUCUUCUGCAGCUGCUGACACUUGCGGCCUAUGGAGAAACAGGUCAAAUGCAGAUUAUAAAAAUUCAGUGUAGGGGAUUAAUGAAAAGACCACUUAGUCAAGUGAGUAGACUCUUCAUCUAGCUCAUUCUUUAAACUAUUUAAGUGUAGGUGGUUUGGUUUCUAGGGACCCUGGUUAAGGAGCAUACUCUGAACUCUGGGUAUUUUCCUUCCAGUAGUGAUAAUAGUAGUCUCCUUGGUGCACUGUAUUCUCUCAAAGGUUUUAAAUGCUUGCAUGCAGCCAUCUCUAGAACAUCAAAUGGUCUCUCUUCGACUGGAAUGACAACAGCUGAAAGAAAUGUUCAACCAUGAGGACACCAUACCUAUAAAUGAUGUGCUGAGACUGGAAACCCAAAAUAGACCAUCAAGCUUCAGAUGAUGAUGCAACAAAGGUUUCAGCCAGUUCCAGGUGAAGACACCACCCUUGGACAUCAAGAAGCUACCCUGCCUCCACUAGAUAGAGCAGGGAGAGUUCUGUGAUCCCCAAUAGGGCCUUUGUAGACGCUAUCCCUUUGUGGAGAAGACUCUCAACACCCUUCAAAUACUAUGAUCUCAUCAGGAAGGCCCUCCCUGACCACCUAUGCCUGUUUAUUACAAUAGCAGCAGCAGCAGCAGCUUUCCAUUGAGGAGAAGGGUGGCUGGAUUCAGACUGGAGCAGGAAAGUAGGUCCCAGUGGGGAUUUUGAGCUGUGCAGGGGAUGCUCAGCUGGGAGCAACUGCAGUUACAAGGGCAGUGGCCGAGAGGUAAGACCCCUGUCCUCUGCAAAUACGUAAGCACAAUAUAUGUGAUCCUUCCUCUGCCAGUUUCCCCGCUGAUCAUCAGCAUCACCUGAAGUCCUUGUUAAAAAUAUCCAGAAAUACUCUGGCUCCACUCCUGAAGGUCUGGGGUGUGGCGUGGGAUCCUCUAUAUUGUCGAAGCACCCAGAUCGUUCUUCUCAUCUGGGAAAUGUGGGACUCACUGUCGCAGAAGGAGGUGAUCCUUGCAGGGCUGGGGAGAGGCUGACAUUUGGGUCACACAUUACUGACCCUGCUUCAGACAGAACGUACAGAAAAGGAG
This 4771-nucleotide long non-coding RNA is filed under the name Homo sapiens (human). RNAcentral describes it as "HSALNT0200087". The record is from RNAcentral. Lineage: Eukaryota; Metazoa; Chordata; Mammalia; Primates; Hominidae.